UACGUAGGGUGCAAGCGUUGUCCGGAAUUAUUGGGCGUAAAGAGCUCGUAGGCGGUUUGUCACGUCGGAUGUGAAAACCCGAGGCUUAACCUCGGGCCUGCAUUCGAUACGGGCUGACUAGAGUUCGGUAGGGGAGACUGGAAUUCCUGGUGUAGCGGUGAAAUGCGCAGAUAUCAGGAGGAACACCGGUGGCGAAGGCGGGUCUCUGGGCCGAUACUGACGCUGAGGAGCGAAAGCCAGGGGAGCGAACGGG
Molecule: ribosomal RNA, 253 nt
Filed under: uncultured bacterium
Lineage: Bacteria
Description: partial 16S ribosomal RNA
Rfam family: Bacterial small subunit ribosomal RNA
Source: RNAcentral